RNAcentral lists this ribosomal RNA (497 nucleotides) under uncultured bacterium. Its description in RNAcentral is "partial 16S ribosomal RNA". It matches the Rfam family "Bacterial small subunit ribosomal RNA", at positions 28 to 507 of the family's 1533-position model. The record is from RNAcentral.
GAUGAACGCUGGCGGCGUGCCUAAUACAUGCAAGUCGAGCGAACGGACGAGAAGCUUGCUUCUCUGAUGUUAGCGGCGGACGGGUGAGUAACACGUGGAUAACCUACCUAUAAGACUGGGAUAACUUCGGGAAACCGGAGCUAAUACCGGAUGAUCUUUUGAACCGCAUGGUUCAAAAGUGAAAGACGGUCUUGCUGUCACUUAUAGAUGGAUCCGCGCUGCAUUAGCUAGUUGGUAAGGUAACGGCUUACCAAGGCAACGAUGCAUAGCCGACCUGAGAGGGUGAUCGGCCACACUGGAACUGAGACACGGUCCAGACGCCUACGGGAGGCAGCAGUAGGGAAUCUUCCGCAAUGGGCGAAAGCCUGACGGAGCAACGCCGCGUGAGUGAUGAAGGUCUUCGGAUCGUAAAACUCUGUUAUUAGGGAAGAACAUAUGUGUAAGUAACUGUGCACAUCUUGACGGUACCUAAUCAGAAAGCCACGGCUAACUACGUG